GCCUGAGUGGCUCAGUCGGUUAAGCAUUUGACUUCGGCUCAGAUCAUGAUCUUGCAGUUCGUGGGUUCGAGCCCCAUGUCGGGCU
This is a transfer RNA of Felis catus (domestic cat), 85 nucleotides long. It matches the Rfam family "tRNA". From Rfam's summary of the family: Transfer RNA (tRNA) molecules are approximately 80 nucleotides in length. Their secondary structure includes four short double-helical elements and three loops (D, anti-codon, and T loops). The record is from Rfam. NCBI's taxonomy places the organism in Eukaryota, Metazoa, Chordata, Mammalia, Carnivora, Felidae.